This 468-nucleotide ribosomal RNA is filed under the name uncultured bacterium. RNAcentral describes it as "partial 16S ribosomal RNA". It matches the Rfam family "Bacterial small subunit ribosomal RNA", at positions 28 to 507 of the family's 1533-position model. The record is from RNAcentral.
GACGAACGCUGGCGGCGUGCUUAACACAUGCAAGUCGAACGGAAAGGCCCUGCUUUUGUGGGGUGCUCGAGUGGCGAACGGGUGAGUAACACGUGAGUAACCUGCCCUUGACUUUGGGAUAACUUCAGGAAACUGGGGCUAAUACCGGAUAGGAGCUCCUGCUGCAUGGUGGGGGUUGGAAAGUUUCGGCGGUUGGGGAUGGACUCGCGGCUUAUCAGCUUGUUGGUGGGGUAGUGGCUUACCAAGGCUUUGACGGGUAGCCGGCCUGAGAGGGUGACCGGCCACAUUGGGACUGAGAUACGGCCCAGACUCCUACGGGAGGCAGCAGUGGGGAAUAUUGCACAAUGGGGGGAAGCCUGAUGCAGAAACGCCGGGUGCGGGAUGACGGCCUUCGGGUUGGAAACCGCUUUCGCCUGUGACGAAGCGGGAGUGACGGUAAUUGGUGAAGAAGCACCGGCUAACUACGUG